CCACGAUCAAACACAAAACACGGAGCACCGGUAGUGAAAUUAUUGCGGGGCAGGCAGAAGAGCCAAUCAGAGGAGAGCAUCGCUAUGUAAGCCCCGCCCACAGCCCAAGCUCUUCCUGUGGCGGCUCAGUUCUCUGCUGGGACAUCUUGAGUCUUGCAACUGAAUGUUACGCAGACACAUACCACCUUCUUAAACACAGUUGCAGACAAAGCAGCUGCAACAGGAAUGAACUAAAGGAUCUGCCAACGUCUUGGUGAUACAUACCACUGGAUACCCCAGACAUCAAGUGCCAACGCCAUGAUGGGCAGCACAAGGAGAACCUACACAAUAACAGCGUAGGUCUCAUAAAUGUACUGGUGAACAUUCUUUUAACAAAACCACGUCCACCUUUACACCUGUAAGCCAUACACAGGAAACACAACUCAAUACUUCUAAAAAAAUGAUGAAAUAAAAGAACACAAGUGGACCUAAUGCUGA
This is a long non-coding RNA of Amphiprion ocellaris (clown anemonefish), 477 nucleotides long. RefSeq lists it as uncharacterized. The record is from RefSeq and is a predicted model, not a curated record. NCBI's taxonomy places the organism in Eukaryota, Metazoa, Chordata, Actinopteri, Pomacentridae. The transcript has 2 exons.